This 281-nucleotide ribosomal RNA is filed under the name uncultured bacterium. RNAcentral describes it as "partial 16S ribosomal RNA". It matches the Rfam family "Bacterial small subunit ribosomal RNA", at positions 524 to 805 of the family's 1533-position model. The record is from RNAcentral.
UACAGAGGGUGCGAGCGUUGUCCGGAAUCACUGGGCGUAAAGGGCGCGUAGGUGGCGCGACAAGUCAGUGGUGAAAGUUCGACGCUCAACGUCGAAUCGGCCACUGAUACUGUUGGGCUUGAGCACUGUAGAGGCUAAUGGAAUUCCGGGUGUAGCGGUGGAAUGCGUAGAGAUCCGGAAGAACACCGGUGGCGAAGGCGGUUAGCUGGGCAGUUGCUGACACUGAGGCGCGGACAGCGUGGGAGCAACAGGAUAGAAACCCGUGUACGUCCGAGUCACCA